AUGUUUACUCAGGAAUGCAGGUGGUUACACAUUCGACCCAAAACCUACUGAAACCUCCCUUAUUUUUACACUACUCCCAGGAACGAAUAGAGAGACAGGGCUAGCAACUCUCUGCUUAAAAUACGAGAUAAGAGAGCGACCCUUUGACAAGAUGAUAGGUUCUAAGACGCUCGUUCUCUUUGUUGCGCUGUCUCUCGUGGCUUCGGUCAUUCUCGCUAACGACCAAGCAGUGAUACCAAAGCAAGAAGCAAACACGUUUAACAAGAUCUUCGCGAGGAGCAAGCGUCUGUUUGGGAACUGGAGGGAAGGAGUGCGAGAAAACAGCGGGCCAAGGAAAUGCAUCUACGUGCAAAACGGCAAAAUGAAAAAGAAGUCAUGCGCCGUGCCACCAGGCCAUGGCCAAGAGCCGUGAAGAUGAGAAAGGGCUUGGGUCUAAUAAUUUGUAGUCCAAGAUGGAACUAGCCUAAUUUUGGCAGUAAAGUAAAUAAUAUUACCUAUGAAAUCCUAGUGAUUUUGGCAAAUAACCGUCGUGAAGGCAGAGAAUCUGUAAACGUCUUGCGUUUUAACUUUUACUGUAACAAUAACACUAAAAACCUUUCAUGAAUAAAAAAUAAUAAAAAGUC
Molecule: long non-coding RNA, 623 nt
Organism: Nematostella vectensis (starlet sea anemone)
Lineage: Eukaryota; Metazoa; Cnidaria; Anthozoa; Actiniaria; Edwardsiidae
Exons: 3
Source: RefSeq, a predicted model, not a curated record